RNAcentral lists this ribosomal RNA (493 nucleotides) under uncultured bacterium. RNAcentral describes it as "partial 16S ribosomal RNA". It matches the Rfam family "Bacterial small subunit ribosomal RNA", at positions 28 to 506 of the family's 1533-position model. The record is from RNAcentral.
GACGAACGCUGGCGGCGUGCUUAACACAUGCAAGUCGAACGGAAAGGCCUGCUUUCCCUUGUGGAUUGCGGGUACUCGAGUGGCGAACGGGUGAGUAACACGUGAGUGAUCUGCCCCCAACUUGGGUAUAAGCCUGGGAAACUGGGUCUAAUUCCCGAUAGGACUGCAGGGUGGUGCCUGUGGUGGAAAACGAUUUUCUAGUGGUUGGGGAUGAGCUCGCGGCCUAUCAGCUUGUUGGUGGGGUAAUGGCCUACCAAGGCGGCGACGGGUAGCCGGCCUGAGAGGGUGGACGGCCACAUUGGGACUGAGAUACGGCCCAGACUCCUACGGGAGGCAGCAGUGGGGAAUAUUGCACAAUGGGCGGAAGCCUGAUGCAGCGACGCCGCGUGGGGGAUGACGGCCUUCGGGUUGUAAGCUCCUUUCGACCGCGAGGAAGCCACCUGGUUGGAAGGGUGGUGACGGUAGUGGUAGAAGAAGCACCGGCUAACUACGU